This 76-nucleotide transfer RNA is filed under the name Candidatus Wildermuthbacteria bacterium. RNAcentral describes it as "tRNA-Arg". It matches the Rfam family "tRNA". Rfam says of the family: Transfer RNA (tRNA) molecules are approximately 80 nucleotides in length. Their secondary structure includes four short double-helical elements and three loops (D, anti-codon, and T loops). Further hydrogen bonds mediate the characteristic L-shaped molecular structure. tRNAs have two regions of fundamental functional importance: the anti-codon, which is responsible for specific mRNA codon recognition, and the 3' end, to which the tRNAs corresponding amino acid is attached (by aminoacyl-tRNA synthetases). tRNAs cope with the degeneracy of the genetic code in two manners: having more than one tRNA (with a specific anti-codon) for a particular amino acid; and 'wobble' base-pairing, i.e. permitting non-standard base-pairing at the 3rd anti-codon position. Lineage: Bacteria; Candidatus Wildermuthiibacteriota. The record is from RNAcentral.
GUCCCCGUAGCUCAGCGGAUAGAGCGCUUGGUUGCGGACCAAGAGGCCGCAGGUUCAAAUCCUGCCGGGGAUGCAA